CUAAGGAGGGAUGUUCUGUGGUGAAAGCCUGAAAGCUGUAUUAUUGUAUUAAAGAAGUAAGGUUAUGAUCUAGUUGAGUAUUUAUUCCAUUCCGUGAUUGCAAAAAGUGUAUUUAAAAUCAAAGCCUGAUAGAUUUAGCAUUUGUUUUUUGUGGACUUGAAGACUUAUAAUUAGAAUGUCAGAUCUUCGCAAAACCCUGCUGGGACUGCCUCAUAAACGAUCAUCAGCAUCAAGUUUGGCUUUGUCCAAACAACAGUUUUUACCCCUUAAGUGGCAAGAUUAUUUCGACAAAGAAGAAUAUAUAGACACCGUAUCUGGGCGGCAUCAUGUAUAUAUCAAAGGAUGUAAGGGACCCAUCAUUCUUUGCCUUCAUGGAGGUGGUUACAAUGGGCUAACUUGGUCACUUUUUGCGG
This is a long non-coding RNA of Dendroctonus ponderosae (mountain pine beetle), 413 nucleotides long. RefSeq lists it as uncharacterized. NCBI's taxonomy places the organism in Eukaryota, Metazoa, Arthropoda, Insecta, Coleoptera, Curculionidae. The transcript is spliced from 3 exons. The record is from RefSeq and is a predicted model, not a curated record.